This 473-nucleotide ribosomal RNA is filed under the name Treponema sp. canine oral taxon 198. Its description in RNAcentral is "bacterial SSU rRNA". It matches the Rfam family "Bacterial small subunit ribosomal RNA", at positions 9 to 466 of the family's 1533-position model. Lineage: Bacteria; Pseudomonadati; Spirochaetota; Spirochaetia; Treponematales; Treponemataceae. The record is from RNAcentral.
GAGUUUGAUCAUGGCUCAGAACGAACGCUGGCGGCGCGUCUUAAGCAUGCAAGUCGAACGGCAAGAGAGGAGCUUGCUUCUCUCCUAGAGUGGCGGACUGGUGAGGAACACGUGGGUAGUCUACCCUUAAGAUGGGGAUAGCUGCUAGAAAUAGCAGAUAAUACCGAAUACACUCGAUAUUUCAUAAGAGAUUUUGAGGAAAGGAAGCUNCGGCUUCGCUUAAGGAUGAGCUUGCGUCCCAUUAGCUUGUUGGUGAGGUAACGNCCCACCAAGGCGACGAUGGGUAUCCGNCCUGAGAGGGUGAUCGGACACAUUGGGACUGAGAUACGGCCCAAACUCCUACGGGAGGCAGCAGCUAAGAAUAUUCCGCAAUNGACGGAAGUCUGANCGGAGCGACGCCGCGNGGAUGAACGAAGGCUGAAAAGUUGUAAAAUCCUUCUUGUUGAUGAAGAAUAAGGGGAAGAGGGAAUGCU